RNAcentral lists this non-coding RNA (141 nucleotides) under uncultured Bacteroides sp. The record is from RNAcentral. Lineage: Bacteria; Pseudomonadati; Bacteroidota; Bacteroidia; Bacteroidales; Bacteroidaceae.
CCUGCUGUUCCGUCAGCAGUAGCUUGGAACACAUGCAUCACCAGCAAUGAGGUUGUGUGAAGCUGUUCAACAAAGAACCCGCCGCAAGGGAAGAAGAACCGUGAGGGGAAUCAACUGCCGCCAGCAUCAGGUGGCUAAGGG